AUUGAACGCUGGCGGCAUGCCUUACACAUGCAAGUCGAACGGUAACGGGCCUUCGGGUGCCGACGAGUGGCGACCGCGUGAGUAAUACAUCGGAACGUGCCCGCUCGUUGUGGAUAACGAGGCGAAAGCUUUGCUAAUACCGCAUACGAUCUACUGAUUAAAGCAGGGUACCUCAAGACCUAACGCGGACGUAGCUGCCGCUGGCAGAUUAGGUAGUUGGUGGGUUAAAAGCUUACCAAGCCGACGAUCUGUAGCUGGUCUGAGAGGAUGAUCAGCCACACUGGGACUGAGACACGGCCCAGACUCCUACGGGAGGCAGCAGUGGGGAAUUUUGGACAAUGGGCGAAAGCCUGAUCCAGCCAUGCCGCGUGCAGGAUGAAGGCCUUCGGGUUGUAAACUGCUUUUGUAAGGAACGAAAAGCCUUCUUUUAAUACAGGAGGGUCAUGACGGUACCGUAAGAAUAAGCACCGGCUAACUACGUG
This 482-nucleotide ribosomal RNA is filed under the name uncultured bacterium. RNAcentral describes it as "partial 16S ribosomal RNA". It matches the Rfam family "Bacterial small subunit ribosomal RNA", at positions 30 to 507 of the family's 1533-position model. The record is from RNAcentral.